Molecule: unclassified non-coding RNA, 400 nt
Filed under: uncultured fungus
Lineage: Eukaryota; Fungi
Description: sequence contains ITS1
Rfam family: 5.8S ribosomal RNA (bases 1-105)
Source: RNAcentral
UAGCUGCGUUAAAUAGCGCGAAUUGCAGACACAUUGAGCGCUAAAAUUUCGAACGCACAUUGCGCCAUCGGGUUCAUUCCCGUUGGCAUGCCCGUCUGAGGGUCGGAUACCCUAUGUCACCGAUAUUUCGCUCGCACUACUAGGAUGUUCGCGCAGAGGUCGUAUGUUUGCGCGAAGUCCCUAGCGGUCGAGUCGUCGGUUAGUCGGAGCGCUACCGCGAGAACGGUACCGCUCUCAGAUGAAAUAGUUCUUCGGAACUUGCGUUUUUAACGCAACGCUUCGAUAGUAUGGCGGUUUCGGCCGGUUCGCGCCGCUCGUUUAUCAGCACGAAUCUAAAGCCUAAAUCCGCCGUCGAGCGUACUUCAUCAAUUGACCUCAGAUCGGACAUGAAUACCCGCUG